RNAcentral lists this long non-coding RNA (468 nucleotides) under Paramuricea clavata. Lineage: Eukaryota; Metazoa; Cnidaria; Anthozoa; Malacalcyonacea; Plexauridae. The record is from RNAcentral.
UGUUUUAUAUUUGCAUCUCUCAUCAUCAUCUGUUCUGUCCUCAUAAUUAUGAAAAAUGAACUGUUAUGUACCCCCCCCCUCCUUGCUUGUUAGAGAAAUAAACUGAUGAGAGCACUGGAUGAGGGUCUAUCACCUAUGGUCUAUUAUAAUUUGCUUUUUAUGCAAAUAGUGAGCAAAAAUUAAAGCAAAACUGUACAAGUUACAUAUAUAGUACUAUAUCAGUACUAUACACAAACUUUUAUCGAUGGAUAAUUUUGCGAGUUUUCAUCCAAUUCAAUCGUAUAUAUGCUCAACAUCUUCGCGGUAAGUUUCUCUUUACCAUAAAAUUUGACCGAAUAAGUUUCAAAACAAUGUGACGGCAAAAAAUGCAAAAAUCCUGAUUUUCAUAAUAGAAUUUAUAUAGUCUUUUUGCCCUGUUGUACCGCCAUCUUGGAUUUAUCAUGUAGGCCCCACCUGCGCUAGGUAUGC